Molecule: ribosomal RNA, 460 nt
Filed under: uncultured bacterium
Lineage: Bacteria
Description: partial 16S ribosomal RNA
Rfam family: Bacterial small subunit ribosomal RNA
Source: RNAcentral
CCUACGGGAGGCAGCAGUGAGGAAUAUUGGUCAAUGGGCGCGAGCCUGAACCAGCCAAGUCGCGUGAGGGAAGACGGCCCUACGGGUUGUAAACCUCUUUUGCCGGGGAGCAACGGGCGCCACGUGUGGUGCCACUGAGAGUACCCGGAGAAAAAGCAUAGGCUAACUCCGUGCCAGCAGCCGCGGUAAUACGGCGGAUGCGAGCGUUAUCCGGAUUUAUUGGGUUAAAAGGGUGCGUCGGCGGAGCGUUAAGUCAGUGGUCAAAUUGAGGGGCUCAACCCCUUCCCGCCAUUGAAACUGGCGCUCUUGAGUGGAAGAGAAGGAUGCGGAAUGCUUGGGUUAGCGGUGAAAUGCAUAGAUAUCACGCAGAACCCCGAUUGCGAAGGCAGCAUGCCGGCUUCCUACUGACGCUGAAGCACGAAAGCGUGGGGAUCGAACAGGAUUAGAUACCCGAGUAGUC